Meriones unguiculatus (Mongolian gerbil) is the source of this 7158-nucleotide long non-coding RNA. RefSeq lists it as uncharacterized. The record is from RefSeq and is a predicted model, not a curated record. The transcript has 3 exons. Lineage: Eukaryota; Metazoa; Chordata; Mammalia; Rodentia; Muridae.
AACUAGUACUUUUACGAAUGGCAAGCUGAGCCCUCGAGCAUCUCUGGAACUUUCCAUGGUCUUGUUCGGUUUUCCUGACGGAGUUGAGGUAACUCCAGCAGGUCACCCCAAGUGACCAUGUGUCCCUUGAGUGUGGUGGUGACUGUUCAUAGCCAGGCGCCGCUUACAUUUGAGGUUUUCGAAGUAAACUUGGAGCUAUGGUCUCUGACAGAAUCCACACAUGCCAGAAAACCUGCGUGGCUGAGGAUUUGGCGGGAAGGCAGGGGUGACCACAGGGGCAUCCUCAGACACUUGCCACGGGGGGGUGGGUAUUCUCCCGUGCGGGGGAGGGCCAGACGCACUCCCUUCCUCCUCCUCCAGCAAGGGGACCUCAGCCGAGAUUUGGGGAUCGCCUCACCUGUACUGACGGAACCCGCCGCCGCCCGCCCCGCUCCGCGCGCAGCCCGCCUCGCCGUUCCCAGCCAGCCGCCGCUCGGACGCCGGCGAGCUGGACGGACCGAGGGGAAAGACAGACCGACAGGCGCGAGCGAGCGAGUGAGCGAGCGAGCGCGGGGACCGGGCGGCGGGGAGCGGCGCGAGCGCGGGACGAGCGAGCGCGGGUUCAAUUAGCGAAACAAAGCAAUCAUGGCGGAGCUGGCGCACCGGGCUGCGCGCCCCGAGGACUCGGCGACCGCCCCGCGCCCUGGCCGACACCUGCGACUGUUGCCCUCCUGAAAACGUCUAGCUGCCAUUCCAGAAAGAAUAAGUGAGCUGCUUAAAUCACCUGGAGUAUGAAGGAUGGCCUAGGCGGUUGGAAAAGGCGGUUGACGUUGAAGGAAUGAAAACUGAAUUUGUGCCAACUUGGAAAAGAAGCCUACAGAGAGUUUGGGAUACUGUGAAACAACAGACUGGAUCUAGAACCGCUCCCGCACUGAGGAGCCCCAGGAGAGGGUGGCAUCCGUGCUUGUUUCCAGGCCCGUCUUCUGCUAACCUGCUAGUUGCUCCCCUUACUCAUUAUUCCUUUGUAGCUUGGUGUUUUAAGUUCCCUAGAAGCAAAAGCAAGUCAAAAGCCACAAGAAUUUAGCUUAACUAAGUGAUGAAAAUUGUUAUUCAUACGGUAUACUUUGGAAUCAGACUGGAUUUGAUGUUGUUUGUGUGUUUGGACAGGGUCUCACUGCAUAGUCCAUGCUGCGCUUGUAUUUGCCCUGUAGACCAGAAUAGCCAGAAACUCAGAGAUCCAUUCUCCAGCCUCUGCCUCCUGAGUACUGGGAGUAAACUGUGUGCCUCCAAAUCUGGCCCUCAAACUACUAUGUAAGGAUUAUUUCUGGGGGAAAGAGAUUUAUAAAUUCUGAAGCACUUUAUCAAGUAACCACUGUCCCUUUAGGGCUAGCUCUAUAAGGUUUGUUGGGUAAAUCUAAAAUAAUUUAGAUUUACUAGAAGGAUAUAUUUCAAACAACUUAUGAGAGCUAGCAUACAAUUUAUAAUAUUUGUCAUAAAAAUAACAAAACUUAAAACUUCAUGUGCUCAAAACAGAUACCAUAAUAUCCCCAGAGAACUGUUCAACUGGAGGCCUUGGGAUUUUAAUUAGAGGUGCCAAAUUAAUAAUAAAAUUAUAAAAGAGUGUGGAUUUUAGUAGAUAUAUGUUCGCAAACCAUUAUUUUAAGCUUCCCCUUCCAAUUUUGUUUCAGCCCUAACAUUUAGUUUAAAAAGUAACUGUAAGAGAAAUGUAAGAGAAGACACAAGUUCAUAAAGUAUUAACUAAUGCUCUUAGUAAACCUUUAUUAUGCCCCUUACAAGAUCAUAAGUGUUUUAUCUAUGAUUUUUAAGUAAAAGUUUCCACUGAAUAUACAUAAAUGUGUAUAAUUAUAAAUGUGUAUUUUCCAACAGAACUGAUGAUAAAUUAAAAGAGAUGGAGGAGGACAGUGCUUGCUUCCAUAUGUUACACUUCUGAGACAGAGUAAAUAAUUAUACUUUAUUAUUAGUAGUAAAACUUAACAUUAUUAUCUGAAGAAUAAUUAUAUUAACUUCUAUGACUUAAAGCCCUGCUUAUCCCCACAAUGGUUAUUAAGGAUAUACUAAUAUUUGUUAUCUUCUAGUUAUUGAGAGUAAAAAUUGAUAAUAUAUCUCCCUCUGUUCACAGUUUAGCAUAUGCUGAAAUGAUGAUAUGAAACCUUAAGGUAUAUAGUUGUCAGAAUGUACCUGGAAGUUCUUAGAAAUUUUAGAACAAAUGAUGACAGGUAAAAUGAAAGAAGCCUCAGCCCGAUGAGUUUGGGAGGAAUCAGCAGAAUUUCUUAUAAUGUCACCUUGGGAAAAAAAAAAAAAAAGAAAACCUACUAACAUAUUACACGGAUGUUUCCUGCAAUUAGAAUAACAAACACAGGUGAGACAUGUUCAAAACUGCUUACCAAGUCCUUUACAGCCCGUUUCCAUUGGUCUCCCGCGGCCGAGGAGACAAGGACGGGGUGUGAGCAUUCUCCUCACCUCCUGAUGCACAUUAGCAGUGGUACCUUGUUAGGGGUCCCUGUGUCAUUCCCUUAGAAUCACAGACAUCCCGCCCAAUUAACGUUGCUCAUUGCGAAAACCAAAGAAGCCUAGCUCAGGCAAACCUCUCAGAUGCUGGAAUCCCAGAGUCUCUGGUGCAGCAGCCACACAGUGCCUGCCUGGGCCCCCUGAAAAUAAACAUAUCUUUUGCAUAUAUGCUCUCGUGGCUGCCAGCACUCUGCCAAGGAGAAGUGCUAUUCUAAAUGGAGAUUCUUUCUGUAUCAGCAGGAAGAAUUUAUAUCCAGUCAGAGAAAAAGUGGAGAGCAGCUCUUGUUGGUCGUCACAUUUUAGAGCAGGGAAGUGCUUUGCCCUAAAGGUGCCAGGGAAAGAGAAUUGCCAAGUAAAGAAAAUUUAUUGAAUGCAUUUUCCAAAAGGGAAGCAUAUCUGACAUUUUUGUUUCUAGGCUCUCAGAGAAAUACCUCUCCUUAGUCCUUAUAUCAAGGAAGGACAUAAAACAGUCUCAUUCUGUCUUGGAAGGCACGCACCUUAAAUGUUUUCUAUUUAAUCAUCUGUAAUUAUCUUCAGCUUGUCUUUAUUCAGAUGUCUGUCUGCACCACCCGUCCGAAUACUGAACUCGCUGGGCCCUCCUUUCUGUACCUUUUCUGCUUGAGGGGAGCCCCAGAUCUGUGAGUCCACACACCUGCCCCCCACGAGGGCUAGCCACUUCCGUGUAGCAUACCCCAACAGUUGCCUGGAUUUUGCAUCCAGGAAUACACCAAGGGACCCAGUCGAGUCUACCCGCUUUGAAAGCUGGUGGGGAUAUACUGGUGGUGGGGAGUGUGCACUCUUGUGCUUGACUUUGGCAACCAUUUAGGGUCGCUGGAAAGUUCCACCCUGUCAGCCCCACCCCAAGCAUGUUACCCUCUAGCUGACAUGGCAACAGUAACCCUCAGUGUUUGCUGCUUUGUUCAACGCAUCCUGUGCUGUGGACAUCUUCUCUCUUCUGGAACUUCAGAAAAGUAAGGCCUGCCUGACAACAACAGACAAACAACAACAACACCAAAGCAACAACAACAAAAAGGGGAUCCAUCAAGUGAAAUAAACACACCCAGUCUGAGAUUCAAUUCUGUCUUGACUUGGGGAAGGGUGCUUCUCUCUUUUGUCAAGCACAGUGACUCCGGCUCUCUGUUUCGACUUGGUCAGGGACAGAACGAAAGAUUACACCUCUGGGCAGGUACAAUAUGUUAGCCCGGGAAGGACCGCUCCGGUGGUAAGGAUGACAACAAUUAGCACAUGCUACUCAUUAACAAACGGAGAUUAGAACGCAGCCGAAAUGGCAAGCUGCCAUCAGCGCGGUAGUUACGGGGCAGUUUAAUUUCUAACGAAUGUGAGCGCUGGAUCAGUAACAAUAUUCGACAAAACGCCGCCUGCAUUCUCUUAUGGCUUUCAUUACCAAAUUGAAAAUCUGUGUAGAUUUCUGAAAAUUACUUUUAAAUGUAGCCAAUCUCCUAGACUGCAAGGCUUGAUUUGCUGGUGAGGGAGCCCUGCUGUGAGAUUUUAAUGAAAGAUCAUAGUGGCCCUCCAAGGCCGGCAAAGAGCUAUGGGCCCGGGAAGACCCGAAAUAAUCUGUUUUACUUUUAAUGGCAGCCAUUUUAUAUUCAUUAAGAUCAAAAUGCAGUUUUGCAGGCAAAUUGCAAAGCUGUUCCACUCACAGCUUGAGAACCUGGAGGCCCUACAGCUUUUUAUCUUGUUCAUAAGCAAAUAUGCAGUUAAUAUCUUUUAAUAUGCUUUGAUGCUUGCUACCUUAUGGGUACAUUGUAUCAGAGGUUAGGGAACUGCAUGUUUCCUUGGCACCGUCGGCGCGAACUAAAGCCGCCGUUCUUUUAUUUCCAUAAUGGUAGAAGAAAUGAGUCUUUUUUUUUUAUUCCCCCUCCCCAUUUUUUUUUUAAAUGCGAACUCUGCUCAAAUAAAUUGUAAAGCACCAUAUAGUGUACAUUCAGGGUCUCAGCGAAAGCACAGUUUUUCACUGGGAUCCAUCUGUUGGUGGUUUGUAUUAUUUAAAUUUAUACAGUCACAUUAUUUGAAUGUAAACAGCCAAAUAAGAUAGGAUCAAAUCAUUGGCAUCUGGAAACUGUGCUCUCAUCCUCUUUGAUUGUGAGGUUGUCUGCAUUAAUAAUGGAGUUCUAAAGGCUGUGAUUCCACCUGAUAUACCGUAUGACCCUAGCAGUUGUGAUCUUAUCAGGGUUUCACUGUAGUAGAAAAUGAAGGUAUUUUGCAGCUCAUUUCCAGCAAAGCUAGUUUGCAUUAUCUGCUGUCCAAAGCAGUCCUGCUUGUUUGGUGCGUUACAAAACACCUCAACCCCCUUUCUGAUUACAGCUGUACUUCCGGUCUAGAAUGAUGUUGUAGAUUAAUUUCCAUCUGAUUUCCUAUUGAAGGCAAAUGACACUGUGUUGAAUGGGGAAAGAGGAAAGGGAAGAAGGAGGGAGGGAGGGAGGGAUAGGAAGAUGGAGAUGACACAAACAUUGAGCAUUUCUGUUUCUUCUUUGAGACAAGAAAGAAGGUUGGUCUCAGGAUUGUUGCUGCUCAGUCCAUUGCCCCACCUUAAUUAUGCUGUCCCGCACUAGUCAGGCCUAGAUAUUGUUGCCUAGAAUUAGAGACUAGCUGAGGGAUGUAGAAGCAAAGCUCAGAUUCCUUUUGGGUGGAAAGGGUUAGCAACUAAGUAAAUUCAAAUCAGCUCGAAGACUUCCGGUCUAGACUAGUUAGGGCGACAAAGAGGCUCCUGCUCUGCCACACAAAUGAUUUGGGUUUUGGGCUUCAGUCUGGGCCUCAGUGGUCUAGCUAAUACAAGGGUGGGAGCUACGGCACCUUUUGUGACAGGAGGGAGGCUGCCCUGAUUUCUCUGGAGAAGGUGAAGUUCUUGUUCAUGUGGCAGCCAUCUCAGUCACAAUGAGAGCUGCAGAGGCAGCUUGUUGAAGAACCUGAGGCAACACCUUCGUUAAAAUGAACACUCAUUGUGUCUCAAAAAAUAAACAGCUCCCUGGAAAGGAAGGCCAGCUUCUUCUCCACCUCCGGGGCACCUCUGCUCUUCCCCUCACCCCACAGCAAAUUCUUCUAUUCUACGACAUGUUUACACAUUCUAACAUCUACCUGUGAAACAGCAGAGCUUUCCUGAGGUCCCUAGAAUGCAAGUUUCCAGGGUCCUGAGAGGAAAUUUGAUAGUCUCUCUCUCCAGGUCUCUGGGAGGGGUAAAGGUGCCUGGCCUGCCAAGGCACAAUUGAAUAGGCUUCUGAAAACACUUGAAAGCAGACAUAAAUGUGUGCGUGGGCAGCUCGCCAGAGUGGCCUGCAGAUGUGGGGGCUGUGGACGGGGCCUUUUGAGUUUAAGCAAAAUGAAGUCAGGAAGUAGUGCUUAGGGCUGGAAUCAGAGGGGUGUUCUGAAAGCCUGAGGGUCAGCUCUGAAGGAAUUGAACCUGCCUGUGUCCAAGAAGAGCUAAAGUAUUCCCACCUGUCCAACUUUGAAAGGGAAAUGGAGAAUGUAAAGAACAUAUAAUUAAUUUCAAUUACAGCACUACAUAGCUCAGACUAGAUAGGCACUGUCUUCAUUUCCUGUCAGUUCAAUGGUCUCCAAGACAAAAGUCCCAGAAAUUAAAUUGAAUUAAAACAUAAAAUUUCUUCUCACAUAUCUCUGUUUUCUAUUCUUAAUACCUCUUGACAUUUAGUCUUUAAUAUGCUACAUUUUCUUCUCCUGCACAAAUAUAUACUUCAGGUUUUGAUCAGUAAGACUGCGUCAGCAGCCGUCAUGGGAUUAACAUAGCACAAAUCUUCAGGAAAAUAGUCAAAAAAAGAAAAAAAAAAAAGAAUACGCUUAGAUGUGAGAAGUCUUGUCCAAUGUUUAUUUACCAUUUGAUUUCAGAAUUAUUCUUAACUGUGCAAUUCAGUCAUUUUCUAGUGUCUGUCAGUGCUCUUUUUGAAACAAUAUGGAGAUUUGUGUAAAAUCAAUAACCUUGCUUUCUAUGAGCUCAAUGAUUGUGUUCUGCUUCUUUUUCACUCCAAAGACACUGCCAUGUGCUGUGUGGUGUGGUGGCCACAAAGGGGUCACUCUCUGGCAGAGAGCGGAUUUGCAUUUUGAUCCGGCGCAAGGGAGAGGUAAUAUUGCACACUAUUUUCACAUGCUGGUGGUAGCAGCCGUGGUGUUACCUCGUUGCAAGUUGAGGGCUGUGUAGAUUCCUAAGAAGGAGGCAUCUGUGUGUGUAGGGGGCGGAUGCCGUGAAGAAUAAUAUCACCCUCCAUGAGACUUUGUCAGGGAAACUGGAGAGAAAACAGUCUCCAUUGGAGCUUUCUGCUAUUUGGGUUUCCUUCAGCACCAAUUAUUCAUCAGAAUAUUUGAAUCCAUACAUAAUGGAGUUCUUUGGCUCCUACAUAGUAAUGUCUUUAAACAUGCAAAAGAAAGUUCUAUCUCUCAAAUUCCUCCAAAAAGGUUAUCAAGAUUGCCCCGAAGGGCUGACAGAGUCCUGCCAGGGAGUGUUUUGAAGGAUGAUGUUAUUAUUUUUCAUUGGUCAUUUCACCAAAGUAUUAAGAGAAAAAAAUUGACACCUAUCCCUUCGAUCUUAUUUAGCAAGAAAAAAAAAAACAUCAUCAACAACAACAAUAAAAAAAAAGGAAAAAAAAUACAAGAUUUCACUUUAACAGGGUCUUUCAG